CUACUUUCACUGUCUCUUCCUCUAUUGAGUGUGUGCACGUGUGCACGUGCGCACAUGCAUCGACAUUUAAUAGUGAAAACUAAAAAUACAUCCUUUAUGGAAGUAAGAGGUAUAUCAAUCUUAUCUCAAAUAUGUUAGGCUGGAUUUACUUGCAUUCUAAUAAUUCAACAGAAUACUUUUUUAUUCACAAUAGCUUGUUUAUUUUUCAGCAAAAAUUUUUAAUGUUUACUUGGGCUGUUGUGGACAUCUUCUACUUGAAUGCUGCUUUUCAUUUAUUUGAGCUUGUUCAUGUUUUUGAGUUCUGCUUAUAAGGAUGGAACAUUCUGUGACACUUUUCACCCUGAAGCCAGUGGUUGGAGAGAUUGUGCUUCUUGUAAGAAGGCACCACACCGAUGCUCGCCGACCUUCUGGAGCCCUGAGGUUAUGCAGCAUGCAAAGGACGUGCCUGGAGGACCAUCUAUUGACCCUAAGAGAGUGAUAACUGGAAUUAACUUAGGAGUUGAUCCAAUUCCAUCCCCUGAUUCUGUGGUAUGCAAUGCCUCACCUAAUAAGGUAGCCACUCUAACGACUCCUGGAGCAGUACUUCAAGCACAAUCUCCUUUAGUAGAAAUUGGAGAAGAGUCCUCUGUAAAUUCACCUGAUGAAAUCAAUACAUCUCAUCAUAAGAGUGGUGGAAAGCAUCGAAAGAAUGCCUAUAAACAGACUCAAGUACAAUCCAGAUACUCGCCGAAGACCAGCUCGGAGGAGCUAAAGGAAAUCUGCAGACUGUCACAAUCAAGUCUUAUUCCUUUGUUUGAGAAAGAAUUGACUGCUAGUGAUGCUGACCUCAGGAAUGGGCGCCUUGUGUUACCAAAGAGAUGUGCAGAGGCUUAUUUCCCAAAAAUUUCGGGCCAACAAGGAAACUUCAUUGCAGUACAAGACACAAAAGGAAAUGACUGGGAACUUUACUAUCGUUACUGGUCAAAUACUAAUGGCAAGAUGUAUGUUCUUGAAGGGCUUAAAGAUUACAUAAUCUUGAUGCAAUGGAAAGCAGGUGAUAGAGUUACAUUUUAUAAAAGAGAAGCAGAUGGAAAAUUGGUCAUGGGAUUCAAAAAGUAUCAAGCUGCCAAAUCAGACCAGAAGAGCUCAACAUGAUGUUUUGAAAACAACUGUACCCUUCAAAGACCAGUGUGAAUCUUGUGCUUUUCAUCGAAGGUGUUGAGGUCCUUUUUACACAUGAUGUCAUCAGUCAGCGAACUAAUAGCUUUGUCAGGAACUGACCAUUGUGGCAUUUGUUGAUGUGGAUUCUCAUAUGGCGGUUACGUUGGUGUCAAGUAGGUUCAAGGACAUCUGAAAGGUGCCUCUCUUCUUAAUAUGGACAAAAAGGGAUUAUCCUUGGCAUACCAGUACACAUAUGUGGCUCCACUUCAACAUAACAAGUAAGCUGGCUCACUGGUUAACAGUUGUCAGUCAUACCUAUAAGACAAAAUUAAUUGAGGAUGAGCUUUGUGAAGCGCUGAAUUUGGAUGACAAAUGCUGACUUUACGGUUAGUGGCACUGCUGUUUUUCUUGCUCAACUUCUGGUUUUGGUAGGGGAGGCAAUGUUUAGUACUAAAGCAACUAGAUCAUGCAAUAGCUUACCUUGCUUUAUCUGUUCCGGAAUUCUCAAUAGCAUGUCUCUUGACCGGGAAAAUUUUCGUAUUCAGGUCAGAUGUACAAUUUUUGUUCUUUUCACCAUAUGUUGUAAUCCAUCAAAGAAUAUAAAUUGAGCCUUAUUGCAUUUGAUCAGAUUGCUAGUGUUUUUCCUCAGAAAAUGAUUUGGUCUAACAGCAAUGAAGUGAAUGCUGCUGACUCCAUGCAGUUAUAUUAACAAGGACAGUCAAUGAGGUAGUGAAUAAUGUACCAGGAUACAUUUUGCCUUUCAUUUGUGUUAAAAUCCUUGGUUAGAAUUAUUCUGGUACACAGGUUCUUAUUAGAGUUUUCUAGAAGAGUAGCGUCUGAAAAAACAGGAUAUGAUGAAAAUUUGAAGCCUUUUGUGGAGAAUUGUUGUCUAUUCUUGGCCUAUAUGGGAAUACUUGUUAGAGGCAUGAAGGGCUGUGUUAUAGCCUGUGACAAACUGACCCUUACUUCCAAUGGGUUGGGGUUAGAAACUUAGAAUGUUAUGUAAAUUGUAUGAAUUGAAAAUGUGAUGAAAAUGAAAAUUUUUAUUCGAUUAUUUAUUUAGAUCAAUAUUAAUAAUGAAUACGUAGUAGAGCUUCGUCGUAAUGGUAAGGUUGCUGUCAUAUGGUUUGGAUGUCAUGGUUUCAAAUCGUAAAAAUAAUUUUCUUUUGAAAAUGUAAGAUAAGGCUGUCUAUGUUAGAUCCGGCAUUUUCCAAGUCGCG
Molecule: non-coding RNA, 2360 nt
Organism: Durio zibethinus
Lineage: Eukaryota; Viridiplantae; Streptophyta; Magnoliopsida; Malvales; Malvaceae
Source: RefSeq, a predicted model, not a curated record